AAACUUACUUACCUCUUUUCUCUAGCUUAAGGACAGCAUUGUUGUACUGUAAUUAAUAACUUUGGAGCAAAUAUGCAUUACAAUUCAACUUCUACCAUUCAAUUCAAAGCCAUCAGUUUUUUCCAGCCAAGACAAUCCUCAUCCUCUGCUAUGUAACACGUACACUUUCUUCAUUAGCCUUGUUCUGAAGACUUAAAAAGAAACUGGGUUUUUGGAAAUCUGCAGUAAUGAUGUGUCAUUUUCUUUUGCUGGCAGUGCAUGGCAGUUUGUCUAAUUUAAUGAAGGAAAAAUGGAAUGUGUUAAUAAAAGACAGAAAUGGAAGUAGAAAUCUGCUGCUUUUGUAGAUCCUUAAACUUUGCAGAUCCUGAGAGGAUGAAGUUUAUUUGUUGCCUUUUACCAGGUUUGAUCCAAGUUCCUGAUGAACUGUGUAUCUUUGGGAGCCAGUGCCCUGAAACCAAUUGUCAAUUUUCAGCCUGAACACUGAAUCUCUGCAGUCACAGUAGAAAGUGACUUAAGAGGAACCUGGUUAGGCUGCUCCUGUUCAAGGGUAAUAGGCAGGGGACUGGAGGGUGAGACUUGUAUGCCAGCAAGCUGGAAGGAAGGUGUUGUUGAAGGUGAGGAGAAGAUAAGAAUGAUAAAAUGUUGUUAAGAAGAGCUGUAACAGGAAGUGAUCUGGGGAUUGUGUGUUUUCAAAGCAUGACAAAUUUAGUGUUUGUUUUAAUUUUGAUUUGAUCUGGAACACAUUUUUACCUUUUGAACACUGAAAGUGUUGCUCCCUGUCUUUGUGCUGUUGUGAUUGGCACUGCUACUGCCUGUGGUAAUGGCCAGCAUGGGAGGCAGAGUCCUUCAGAGAAUUGGUCUUUUUCUUUUUUAUGGCUGCCAGGCAAGAAGUCAGCAGCAGGUCAUUGUGGAUUUGUGCUGUAGACUUCAAGCUCUGCACACCUGAGUAUAUUGAAUAAAGGCAUGUUAGGCUUUGACUUAGCUUGGUUCAGUUGGUAAUUUUGCAGAAAGCAGUUUGAGAAUUAACCAAGUUGUAUUAAUUAAGGUAACAAUAAGUAAGAAAGUGGCUUGAUAGGAAUGGAGUUGAGUAUGGUGACACAAACUUUGGGUAGCUCAGCAAAGUUAUUUUAUAGUUCUAGGCUGAAGGGUUUGAUCCUGUUUUCUUUAUUUAUUGAGGAUGUGUUAAACUGCAUUUUCUUUAGGACAGAAGGUAUAUAUCAUUUUUUUUUUAGCUGCCAUAACAGAAUACAGUGUUGUUACCUCUUUGUGUUCUGAGAUGUUUUUUGGAGAAGGCUGUUGCCUGUCAGUUGAUCCACCACAAGGUACACAGGUGAGCUCUUACAUGGCAUAAAGCUGAGGAGAAAUUCUGUUUUCACCUGGCUAAUUCUCUACUUUCUUCAUUUAAAAAGAGACAAUACACCCCAUCUUGAAAUGGCUGUGAAUUUUCAGCCUUCAAAUUUUCAUAUCCUUGUUGGACUGUUACUUUUCCGGAGAUAGAUGGUUUUCAUGUAAUCAAUAAAAAUAUUGUUUAUAUGUCUAAGGUAUAUUUAAUACUUGCAAAGAAACAGGCAACACAAGGCAACUACACAUAGUAGGGUAACAGGACAAGUAAAAGGAGAGGUUUGUGUUGAGCACCACUGUUUUUUUAAUACAUGAUUAAAAGUGACCGUACAAAGUAGAUUCUCUUAGCUCACCAAACAAGGGAAUUAAGUUUUCCCCUGCAGACUAGAGCAAUCCAUUCGUGGGUUUUGAUACUUUCUGUAGAUAUUUUCUUUCUAUAAAAGUGCACAAACUGAAAAUUCUUUACUGAUACUUACACUAAACCAGUUGGUCUCCAUACACUUAAAAAUUUCAGAUGUUAUCCCAGUUUCUUAGGGGUAGGGGUAUAAUUUACUUUUGGUCACACCCAGUUAUGAAAACCUCAGACAGAUAUACUUGCUUACUUACUUGCUGAGUGAAUGGGGGAUUUAAUUUUGAAAUGGUUGUCUGUCCUGGAUAGUGGUGUUUGCAGUCCCAUAGUAACCUGACACGUGCUUUAGGGUACAGCUUUGUUCAUCUUCCAAGUUUCACGGUUUAAUUUGGAACAUUUCUGACAGUUCUGUUCUCCGUAUUUCAGGUGUACAGCAGUUUUGACUGAAGCAGCAGUGUUUUUUGUGAUGACAGAAGACAGGCUGUUUGAGGGUUAUCAUAGUGUUUCUUCCCCAGUUUAAAGGCUUUAACCACCUUUCAACUUUUAUGGCAGAUCGGUCACAAGUACUUGUAGAAAAUUACUUUCUUUGUAUGGUGAACUAUAAAUGGCAAUUUUGUUACGAGUGUAAAUUUACAAAUUACACUUAAACAAUGCUUCAGUGAGGAAAAUGGUGGAUAUCAGUAUUUAGUCACUGCUAUAUCUCUGUCAAGUUUUUGAAUGUACUGGAUGUUAAAUAGCCAGAGCUCUUCAUGUUUUUAAAUUUCUCUUCCUACUGAUAUUCUGCAGUCCUAGUUUUCUAGAAAAUAUGCUCCACAUUUUUCUCUUAUUUUUAGUUUCUUUAAUGAAAUCCAGUCUUUCUCUUCAAAGGUACAGAAACAGAGAGGAAGCUUGUCUGUAAAAGUACUUUGCUAUCAAACACUUCUUUUCAAUUAAUAAAAAACCAUUAGAGUUGGAUGCCUAAUUUUUCAAGUAGGGCAGGCAAGACUGGGUUUUGUGGAAGAACCCGAGAGCUCAGCUGUGCCAUCCCGUGGUGUACCAGUGCUGCCGAGAUCCUGUGAGCUGCCUGCGGUCACUCGGUGCUGGGGAGUGCAGGCAGGGCUGGCAAGCUCCUGCCUCGCUCCUCUGGAAGGGCUCUGACUUCACAGCAGAUGAGCUCCAGCUGCCUUUUAGCAGCAGGAUGGGGACUUUGGUAACUGAUAACCCGUGAAAUCUUGUUCUUUGUGGUAGUUGUGAAAGAGCUGUGGAGCUAGGUAAACAUCCCCCACGGUCUUACGGAAGUGACUGGUGUGACCAAUGCCAGUGGGUUCCUAGAAAGUUUUAAUUGCUUUUACUCCAGUUUUGUGUUUGUUAAAACUGGAAAUGUUUAGUCCGCCCCCUGGUUCUGCCUCCUUUGGGUUUUAGGUAACUUCUAAAGCUAUUUGUCAUUACUUAAAGCUUUGAUAGCUAUGAAUCAUGUCAGCUGAGUGUAGUUUAUUCGUACUUGAAAAAAACACUAAUCAAAACUGAGUUUGACAAUAUUUUUGCCGAUUUUUGCUCAGCAUUUAAAAUCAAGUUGACUUAAUUUUUUUACCAUGAAGGUUAAUGGUAGCAUUUAGUAAUACUGCCAGUGUUUUGAUUUGCCCAUAAAGAUCAAAGUGAUGAUAAAUAUCCUGAUAUACAUCCUCUUUUUUCACUGAUUUUUUGGACUUCCUAUUAAAAUGUAUGUAUUUUCUAUAUAAAGAUGCUAAUAAUCUGUAGCUUUUAUAUACUUGAGGCAUGAUGCAUUUUCCCCCCAUGUUCUCUAACAAGAAACCAUGCCUGCUGAUUGCUGCUCCUGGAAUCCAACUGCUGCUGAGAGGACGCAUGUGUGGAUAUCGCUUGGCCACACUCCACUGCACUAACAUUUCGGUGAACAAAGUAUAACUUACAUCUCAUCCUUUCAGCAUGUGUGUUCUGUGCUUUGGGAAUCACACUGGCUCAGUUUAUGCAGCUGUAGCUUGGCUCUGUCACUUCUAUUAUCUGAAGCUGUUUUUUCAUCUUUAUAAUGUGUCAAAAAGUCACCUUGAAAUGAUGUUAAGAUACCUGUCUUAAAAAAAAUUGUAUUGUCUUUGACAUAUUGUGGUUCAAUUUUUUGAAGAUGCUUUGAUUUUGUUUUAUAUUACCGAGUGCAAUUGACAUGUGUUAAAAAAGUGUUGUCUGUUUACAAAUCUAUCACUGCUAGGCUACCAAAGUUUGAAAAUAGUCUGCACAUAUCAAACUUGUUGGUGUUACACAAUCAAGAUGUAUUGAUGUAUGCUAUUGAGCAGAUGAUAGUUCCUAUUGAAAUUUUCUCUUUUUUUUUUUAGAGCAACUGAAUUAAAGUAUAAUAAAAUAUUUGCAAUGGCUCAUAACUCAGCUAAACUUUCAGUUGGCUUUCAGUAACUUCUCCAUAUUAAAUCCAGAAAUUGUGAAAGCUUUCAAAUUAAACUGGAAUUUGUGUCUAUGUAUUAAUCUAGUGCUUGUGGGUUUUUUCUUUGGAGAUUUUUUGUUUGGGAUUUUUUCAGUUAAAUUUUGUAUAGUAUUUUGAUUUUGAGAAAAGACUUAGCAUAGGAGAUUUUUCUAAUCAUAGAGUUAUGAAAGUGGUAUUUCUCUACUCCUUUUAGCAAAAUCAUCCAUAAAAAGGAAAUAAUUUAUAUUUGCAAGACUAGUUUUGCAUUGUGUGUUACAAUUUCAAAGUUUCAAUACAAGAACGUGAAAAGAGACUUAGGAUGAAGGCUGAUGCAUAAAAGCAGUUUUUUGUACAAGGAUCUGAAGAGCAGAAAAGACCUUGUGUGUGCUUUGGAUACUAGUACAUUAUUGUCCAAAAUGUUGAUAGUGGAAUUAAAGGACCAGGAUGGGAUUCUUGUCAGUCUUCUCUCAUGCAGUUUUAAUUACUACUACUUUGAAACCUACACCUGCGAGAGAGAGGGAGACAUGCUGUACACCAGCAUCCUGUUUGAUAGAGCAGGGCCAGUGUGGGAUCAACUAGCUUAAUUUGGCUGGCUAUGGAAAACUUUUAACUAAUCAGAUUUUUCGCUUAGGAAAGAAGAUAAUUACAGGAAGGGAAUAACCUCUUAUGCUGAAAAAUUGCAGAAGAACAUUGCAAGAUCUGUCGUCAUCCUUGAACAUAAUGUUACUGUGUUUGAGAUGUAGGAAAUUGCAUUAUAAAAUCACCCUAAUCUCCUGUUACAUUGCUGGUGUGUGUACAUGAACGAAAUUGGUGGGUUUGUACCUCAGAUCUGUUCACAGUAUUCUGUUUGCAGCUAUGUCUCCAGCAGAGGAAUGAAUUUGUUAUCAUGGGCAUGUGGGUGCAGAUUGUGGAACAGGUGCUGGAAAAUUGUCAUCACUAGUGAGUUAGCCUUUGUCUUUACUGGACAGUAAAUUACAUUGCCAGACUAAGUGAAACUGGUACCUGAGCUUUAAUUCCUCUAAGGCCAGGUGGUUACACUUUAAAGCACAAAUAAACUCAGGUAAGUGUUAAAAUAGGUUUCAUUAAAAAAUUCCUCACAAGUAGCUGUUCUGAGAACUCAAUAAGCCUCCCCAAAUAUAUGGAUAUUAGGAGUAAAAAUUUAUUUGUAUCAUAUUAAUCCAUGGUAAUUAAAUAAAUGUCUCUCAAGGAUAUACUUUACUUCUUCAAAUAGAGGUAUGAAUGUUUGAACAUUAUGUUAGUAAUCAAACAGUCCAAAAUUUGUUUUAUGUUGAGGUUGCUUCUUGAUGUCACAAAUUGAAUUUUGAUUGUAUUGUUCCUAGGAUGUUUCAGUCUCAAAUAUUGUAAAGUCUGUAAUUUUAUUUAAUUACUUAAUCUCAUUGAGAAGGAAAAUUACUGUUCUUGUGUUCUUGCCUAGCCUUUAUCAUAGCUUGAUAAUGCUAGAUUUGUUAGUAUCAUGCUGAUUGAAGUGACAGUGGAUUUUGGAACCCACUUUGUCAUUCAUCUUUAGCAUAAUAUCCUAUGCCUCUUUAUGUCCAGUUUCUUUUUUGUAUCAGAACAGAUGAAAACAUAAAAUUUCCUGUCUAAAGGCCACCACCCUUGCUAGAGUAGCAGCAUCUAAUGCCAUUCUAUUUAUAGAUGGAACUUGUUAAGUUUCCUCAGCAGGGACUUAAAGCUAUGACCUCGCAGGCCAGAAACAGGAGAGCUACCUACUGAGCUACAAGGGCAAUCUCUCAAUUCUAAAGAAUACAUAGAAAAUUUCUAAUAUACUGUACUGUGAGUCAUAAAGUACUUGACCAGUAAACCCUCCCUCCCCUGAGAAUAAAGACUUUACUGAGUCAUUGCUAUUAUUUGACCUACGACUACUUUUAUUGCAGUUCUGUGUGUGUGAUUUGGCAGUGUGUAAUUGCUAUUUAGGCAAUGCAGAUGAGUUUUUCCUCUGUAGUACUUCAAAGAAAUCGUCAGGGUGUGAUAGAGUUGGGGUGUUCAGGUGGCUGUGAAACACAUGUUUACUUGUUUGAGUGGGUGUCUUUGCUGAUGGGGUAGAGUAUCCUGACUUCUUAAAAACAGUGAUAGUUUAAUUUUUUUUUUUUGCUGUUUCAUGGACUUUCUUGAAAGCUUGAAGAGAAAAGUACUGCAGAUGGAUUUGGGGUUUUUUUCUAUUGUUUUUAAUGUUUUUGUUUCUAAUAUGAAAUGUUUGCCUGUUUUCCUUUGGUCAGAGAAAGGCUACCUCAGAAAAGUUAAAGUAACAGUUCUUUGGGGAAAGAUAAGUGGCUGAGUGUUUUCACUUUAAUUAGCUGCAUGAUUGUAUCAGAAAGGUGAGUAGAGUGUAAACUGAGACUAUUGCGGCAUCCCUUUCAGAAAGUUGCUUUUGAGAAAGUGGUGGGUUUUUUUUUUAAUGCUUUUGAGAAAGCAUUGUUGUUGUAUUUUAAUGCAGAGUUUUAAGGAAAACUUCAAAUUAGAGAGGUUCCUUGAAGCACUUUGUUUCUCAAUUGAAUCGUAGAUGGCUACGCUUCCUGGCACAGCUGAGGGCACAGGCUGCUGUGAACGGCAGUAGGAGUUUGCCCAGGGGCUCUUUAUCACUGUCCCUCCUUGCUUUGGAGUUGAAUAUGCAAGUGAGUCAAUCACCAAAUGAACUGAGGUGAUAAUUUCCGAGGCUUAUGUGACUUCAAUAUUAAAAUGGACAAGGAGCGGUUUUUUAAUUCGAUUUUUAUUUGAUUGCUGUGUACUGAACAGUGGACUAACUACUGCAAAUUAAACAAACAAAAAAAAAAAAAGACCAGGAGGAACCUGGCUUUGGGUUUCUUAUUCUGGCUGUAUGUUACUUAUCCUAGACAAAAUAGACAAAGCUUCUGGGUAAGUUAAGAUAUGCUAGUGUAAGAUUGAAUUAAUAUAUAUCUCCUUUUUGUUCUGUGUCAAGCAAAUUUUUCUGAGAUCCUUGGGUUGUCAGUUUAGAGUUCCUUUGUCUUUGCCUAUGAGAGUUUGUGAGACUGUUUAAUAAACUGACAGAAAAAGCUGGUUCAGUUUCCUUUCAGAAUUGCUAUUUAUGGGAGCUGCCUGGUUUCUACAUCAGCCAUAAUGCCACUUUCAGAAAAAUAGGUGCUUGUCCCUUUCCAAGUCAUACGUUGUGCCAGACUUGUACACUGGAUAGGACGGUCUUCUGCGAGCUGAAGCGGCUCCAUACUCUGACACCUUUUCUCAUGGAUAUGCUGCCACUUCUGUGCUGUUGGAACUGAUUGUGAAACCAUGUAGUAAAAGGGGGUUUGGGUCUUAGAAAUAACCAUAUUCUUCUUGCUGGGUUAUUUUAAAAAUAGGUAAUAUCUCUAAUCGGAUUUAAUAUGUAAUAGAGUAAACAGUCAUGCUGUUCUAGCUGAGGGAGCAUUAAGCUCAGAUUGGUAAAAUGAAAGAUGUUUGUAAAAAGGCAGCCAUAGGAAAUAUGCCAUUUGCAUCCUUUUUUCCUUUUUUUUUUUUUUCCUGUUUUCUUUUCUUCUAAUGUUACAAGACUUAGGGAUGUUUUUUUUCGAACGUUGCAUGUUGUCCAUUGGAGUCUGAAGAAAUCUGACUUAUGACUGUUAUUUAUGCUGAGCUGUUAUUGAGAUGCAGGGUUUGGUUGCAGAUGUGCCUUUGUGCUGUUGUAAUGCUGAAGUAUUGAUGUGGAAAUCUGCUGACUUCUUUUGGUGAGCCUUCAACAAAGAUAGUUGUUAAAGUGAAGCUCCAUCUGUUGCUGAUAAAAUAGGAAGACUAUUCUUUAGAACCUCAGCGUUUCUCAUUAGCUAGCAAAUUAAUGGCACAUGAUGAUAUUGGAGCAGAGAAAAAAGCCUUGCAGUGAAGUGAUCUGGACUCCAGGAGAUGUUUUGUUCCAUAUGAACAUGUUUUGAUGUGAACAGAAAAGUUUUUGUUUGCACAGUUUAAAAUAAAACCCACAAGCAAACCACAUUUUUCUAACUCUGACCCUACUGUACUAAUGACUGUACAGAUUCCCACUGAAUGGCUUUCUCUGUUGGAAUCUGUGAUGUUCUGUUCCUCUGUUAUUGCUGUAUUUUUUAUUUAUGUAUCUUCCCAUUUCACAGUGGAUGAGAAGAAUUUGCAUGUGACUUGGCCACAGUUUCUUAAAGUUGUUCUCCUUGUAUUAAAACAGAUAUCCAGUGCUAUAUAAAUUUGUGGACAAUCUGCUGUCCCCUUGUCAAGUUACAUUGUAUUGAAUGUGCUUUUGUGGAAAAUUCAACCAAGUGGGUGAAAUUAGUAGUUUUUUGUAUGUUGGCUGAGUGCACAGUAGGCCUGUCUUGCUCCCUGUGACCUUAGGAAAGGCAUAACAUCUCUUCAAAAUUUCUGUACUUGAAGUCAGGUGAGGCAUAGUUCCCAUUUGGAGAAAUGAGGCUCUAACUAAGCUACUUUAUUGCUGAUUUUUGUAUUCAAUUGCUCUGUUCUUGGAAGGAAUAUGACUACUGUGUAAUUCCAUAUUUGUGUGCAGGACUUACUAGGUCUACCGAAUCUGUGAUAAAAUCUCUGUAUACUUCUGCAUCCUAGUCCUGGAGCAUUGAAGGCUCCCUUCAGCAGUCACCCCUCCUACUUGGACCUGAAGCCCUGAGACAGGAGCAUAUAAAUUCAACUUUCCUAUUCUUGCACACUGGUCUAGUAACUUGCCCUUCUGAGGAAUGAUCUAAGUUAGAGAUUUAGAUAGAAAUAAAGUUAAAAGUAGCUUACACUCAGAUAAUGAUUACAGCAGUGUUCAAACAAUAAUCCUGUGGGAAUGGGAUAUGAAAAGAACAUAAAUGCAAGCUAAAGACCAUGCAAAACAGUAUUCAAAAAUACAGCUCUCAUUUAGUCUCUUUCUAUACAGUGGCUUUGAUAAGAAUAUUAUUAUUUUUUAACCGAUAAGCCAUUAACAACAUUCACUUUAUUAAGAUACUUCCAUUUUAUUAUUCCAGCAUAAUUCCAGGCUGCUAACUGGCAUUAUUUUAUAACUAAUUAUUAACUCAUGUUCUCAUCCUUUCAUGUUUUCCUGUUGUUAUUUUUCCUAGAACAUGUAUGUAAGCAAGUAGGGAGAGAGAACAAAAGUGACCUUUUAAAGUGCUUCUAUAUUUUUUCCUAGAGUGCAGUUCUUCUAUUUAGUCAUACUGUGUGAUUCAAGUUCCAUGAAUUGCAGUCAAGUUCUGCUCAGUGUGAAUAAAGAUGGCUUGGUCUGAACCUUAACUAAUCAGUAUAUAUUUAUAGAAAACAAAAAUAAACUUCUUCCUCUCUUACUUUUGCAAACUCAUGUUAUGAUGACUGUGCCAUUUAGAGUGAAUAAUAUAGCAUAUGAGUUCAUUGAUCAUUCACAAAUUCACAUUCUUCUUGUGAGGAUGUAGAUGGUUUCCUUCUAGAUGAUUUGUCCCACACCGAAAUAAAAUAACAACACUCAUAUGCUUUUUAAAAUUUAAUUUUCCCCCUCUCUGUAUGGAUUCACUGUGAGUAGUGGAUGCAGUUUCACUCUUAAGUAAAUAAUCGGCGGGUGUGUCAUUGCAUAUAUAUUUCUUCCUUAUGGAGAAGUAUUGCAGUCUCAUUGUUGACGUGCUUUAACUAUUGUUGGAGCUGGGAAGUGCAGAGCAAAGGUACUGCAGCUCAAUUGGCUACUUAGCUUUUCAGUUGUCUUGCUCACUUAACCUCAGCAGGGUUUCAGUUACUAAGAGAAGAUAAAACCAUUAUGAAUUAUUUAAUAAUUUGCUUUUAAUGAAGCCCCCUAUUUUUAAAAAAGGUGUUACUAAACUUUCAUUUUCCUCCUAUAUGGUUAGUGUAAUGUUGCCAUGCUAAGGUAUUUUGACUACCUCAUUUGAACAUUGCUGUUGAAUAAUGUGAUGGACUAGACACUUCUAAAGGUAAUUUACAUCAUAAUCCUGUUUCUCCUAACCAGCCACUAUUUUGGACAAGAAUUUUGCAGUUUUUCCUAGUCUUGCUGUAGGUGGAAAGGUGCAGCUUGCUGGUCAGUGAAUUAAGGGAGUGCAGGAGAACGGUGUAUCCGAGUGGUGUGUGGAUGUGUCCGGUGUGCUUCCCACACUGGUGCCUGGUGGCUGUGUCUGGUUCCCUGCACAGGGGCAUGAGCUGAUGGCUACAGGCCGUUCUUCCUGUGUGCAGGCUGGGCAACUUCCUUGUGAUGGCUGUCCUCGAGUUGGGAACACAUGGCAUUGGGAGAGGGGAUGUGGGAUUCUCAGAAGUGAUGCUGGGAAGCCUCAGGGCUGCCUGCCUGCAAGGUGCCCUCAGCUGCCGCUCUAUGGACAGCUUGGUGCAGAACACCAGCGUUUCUAGCUUGUGUGCUGCAGUCGUAGGAGGAGUCCCUUCAUCUGGUUCCCAUAAGCAAUAGCCAAAUUCCCUCCCUGCUGGAGAGAAAUGCUGCUUUUGCCAGCUAAAAACAUCAAGUUAUUCUUUUCUCUCAUCUCUUUCUGUUUAUGGAUUUUUUUUUCCCAGAAUGCCUUUGCAUGUUUGCUCAUUUGAGGUUUUUUUUCCCCUUCCCACUUUUGUUUUCUUGUGUAACAGCAGGGUUAACAGGAUUUUAUACACCACUGUUGUUGUUAAUUUAAUGUAUUAGAGCAGUGAAAAUAUAAGAAACAAUAAUUUGUGUACGGUCUCAGAACUGAAAGCUUUUUGACUGGAAAGAUAUCUCACUGUAGCUAUAGGAAAAUUGUUCUCAGUUUAAAACUUAAAUUUGCUGAAAUUUGAUAAGUUAGUACAAAGCAAUUUCAAAUCUCAGCCGUAAAAUCAAUGUGAAGUUACUUUUUUUCCCUGUUUUAAAAUUUGCCUUGGAGAACAAAUAACGUUCUUUGUUUCAGAACAUCUGUAAUUACACAGAAGUGCAUGAAUUCUUGUAUUAUACAAGCACUGCAUAGAAAUACUUCCACAAAACUAAGCUGAAAUAUUCAGCAUUUUUGAGAAGAAAGAACCUUUUGGAAAUUUUUGGUAAAAGAAAAUACUGCUUGUAUUUAAAUGCAGUUUGAAUUUUUGAUGCAGUUUGAAUUCAUAAAUCAGUAUCAUAUGCCACCAGUUUUUUUGUCUUGAUGGAGUGAGUAGAUGGGUGAGCUGGGCUUUGGGGAGAAGGGCAGAUGGAGCUGCAUCCAAGAGCAAGGCUAUGUUCCUGUGGAAUGCAGACAGGGUCUAACUGCCUCUCUUCGGAGGAAGGGAUAUUGUAAUAUUAUCAGCAAUGUUGUAUUGAAGAUUGAAAACAAGUAACUGAAAGCACAUUGUAAAGGAACAGAUGAUUUAAAUGAUUCGGAGAACAUUUCUAAUGUUAGUAAUCAGCAAACCACAGAAAAAUUUGCUUGUGAUCAGAGUUCUGAUUUUUCACCAAAAUGGAAAGUCUAGUCAAAAGUAAUCCAUCUUUUGUUCACUUAGCAUGUUUUUUCUUAGCUAUGCUGCCUACCAAUUUAUUUAAAGAAAAAGAUUUUGUAUGUGUAUGUAAUAGUAAAUGAAUGUCAGAAUGGAAAUUUAAUGGCUUUAUAGCUUUUUGGAAGUUUCCUUCUUCUGCAGAAACAUAUAAUAAAAUUUAGAAAAUUUUUAUAGACACAAAUUGUUUGAAAAAUAAGCCUUCAAUUAACAUUGGUUAACUGAAAAACAAAAUACAUCCUGUUUUCAUAGCAUUGCAACAGCUCUGCUUUCUUUGAACCUUUUUUUUUAAAGCAAAGUCUCUUGUUGAUUUGUUGUGCGUGUCUUCUAAACUUUUUGAAGUUCAAGCAUAUUUUCAAAAGAUCUGAAAUAAGGCUUUCCUGCCAUAUCAAAAGGAAAUAGUAACACUUUCAUGCUGUUAUGUGAUAUAGUUGAGUUUUUAUUUUUAAUCCCUGAUCUAAUUUAGGUUUGAACAUACAUUACGUAAAAAGUGCGUACAGUAUUCUGUAUCAAGGUUGUUACAGAAAAAGAAAACUUAAACUGUGAAUUGUCUUUUUAUAACAAACUCAUUUUGGAAUCAUAAGGUUACUUUAAAAGAGGAUGUAAAUCUUAAGGAAUCUUUUCUGUCAAUGAACUAGGAGAGGCGUGAGAUCUGCUAGAACAGUUCUGGCCUCUGGCUUGGUCCUGUCAGCUCUGUGCUGUGGGCAAAGGGUGAGCAGGCUGUAAGUUGAGUGAAGCUGCAUGAAGGGAUGGUGGUGCUUGACUUGCUUGUCUGGGGGGGCAUCUGUAGUAGUAGUGUUAGAGGCAUUGAUGCAAAUGUUUGAAUAUUGCAUGUGCCUUUUACAAAUCCUUUGAAAUUUGGGGAGCGUUGUCAUCUUUCAUGUAUUGUGAAGAAGUGUAAGUAUUGUGACUCUGCAUCUUCUGAGAGUAUACUAGCUUUAGGAACCCUAAUAUGAUAGCUUUUGGGGAAAAAUUGCAAGGAACCUUCCUACAAUAAUUGGAUGAAAGUUUUCUUUAAAGAUUUAAGGGUGUCUGAUGGACAACGACUUGCUUCAGAGACUUCAAAAAUUGCCAGAAGCAUGAUGGCCAGGAUGAUACUUUUCUUUUGAAGAGUUUCUUUGAGUGUUUUGAGAUGGAGAGAAUCUUCAUUCUGUCUAAGAAUGAUUUUUAGGUUUAUUUUAUGAGGAGAAUAAGACUAGUGUCAAACCAAACCUUGAACAAAUGAUGUUUUGUUCUGGAAUUAGCAGUCACCAUUGUCUGUUUCAGUGUUUUCUGAAACUGUCUCACUGCCCCUGAGUUUGACAGUUUGUAUCACAGCCUAUUGAAGAAGUUGUGGUGGCAGUGAUGUUUAAAAAGGCAGGGGUCAAGUGAAGGAUAAUAACAUACUACUUAUUUUUCUUUCUGGAAUGUUUGAAUUUAAACUACUUUUUUUUUAUCAGAGAGGAAAUGUUUUAAGAUACAUGUUUCUUUGUGCUAAAAGGCAGUUUGAGGUGGCCUGCUUGAUACAGGCUUUCUUUACUGUGUGAUACAAAUGUUCAUACUGACAUUCAUGUGUAGAGAAUUUGAGUGUACCUUUGUGUAAGUGCAUCUGUUGGAUUUCAAAAUUUAAAGAAACCCCACAAGGAUGUGCAUAGAAUUGCCAGCUUAUAGUGCCUAGGAAAUGAAGGCAAUACUACUGAGAAAGGCAGUCUGCCCUGUGUUUGGUGUUGGCCAUGUUUUUGCCUGUGCACUGCCCUGUGCCUGGAUGUCAGCACAAAAUUAGCUGUGGUUGUAUGCCAGACUUUAUGGAAGGCCUGAUGUUGUUUACUACUGACCAGCUAUUGCUUUGUAGCUGUGAUCCUUGUGUUCGCCCAUCUAGUCAUCAUGAAAUUGCACAGAAAAGUAAUACACCUGCGUAUGCACUGUGUUUGCAAAGCUUAGAAAAUAUGGCAAGUGACAAAAUAAUUCCUGACAUUGAAAAAUUCUGUUAAGUGAUAAAAAUGUAUCAGAACAGAUAAGAAUAUAUGGACACUGGUAAAUAAUGGUGUGAUACAAAUAAUGGUGAAAAAAUAUCAGAGUAUAUUUUCAUAUCAAAGUGUUGGUCUCCACACAGAUUGCUUGCUAGAGCUGAUUGUGCACUCAGUUUUACCUCAUAAGCCUUUUUAGGUAUUACUUUCAAUACAGACAGAUAUAAAAUAUAAAAUAUGAUGUAAGAAGUAGAAGGUGCGUUUAAAAAUAGCAUGUAGAGGUAAAAUACUGUCACUGUUCUAAAGUGAUAAUUUAAUAACAAAGCAGAAAAUAACUAUCUGACAAAGUCUUUUUGCUGUACUGGCAUUGCAAACCAGUGUGUUCAGAAGAGCACUGAGGCUGCCUGGCAGCCAUCCCCAAACUCCAGCCCAGGGCCUGUCACUGUCACGGCCUGAGACAGCCUUUGCUGCUUGUCCCUAGGUGCAGUUCAGGUGCUGUGGUGAUGCCAGAAUCCUAUGGCCAUGAACAUAGUCAGACUGUAUUAUUUCUUUAACUCUGCAUCAAUGAAGAUAAUGUAGAGUUUGGGCAUGUUAAUGGAUGGCGAGCUGUCCUGAGGUUCACAAUGGUUUAUGUGAGUGGUCCUUGCCCUUCAUGAACAAUGUGGUGCAAGGGUAGUCCCUAAAUGGCUUACCUCAUCAUGUAGAACCUGCAUUGAAUUUUUAAUUAAUGAAUUAAAAGUAGUUUAACUUUAGAGUCUCAAGUUGAAGUUUUCAGUGUUUUAAACAAAAAGGUUCAUAACAAACUCUUCCUCAUUCUACAGUAUUUUAUAUAAUCUUUGUCUUUUUCUAGCAUUAAGAAAAGUGUUUCUGUAAUGUUAAUUAGCUAGUAACUGCUGUUUUCAGUGUGCUUUAAUUACUGUAUGUUGCUUGAUUAUAUGUUAUGAAAUAAACUUAAGGUUAUUCUAGAUUGUUAAACAGUGAGCUAAUAUAUAACUACUGUGCUUAAGAUGAGGUUUUCCAGAUAUGGUGGUGGAAUAUUGGGAAGAGGAAAAUGAGAAUGAGAACGGCUGGAAGUGCAGUUCUCAUUCUUAGAGACAUAUGAAAAAGACUUUAAGAAUUGCCUCCUAGAUUUUGAAAUUAAUAUUUAUGAGAAAUAUCUGGUAAAAUACCAUGAAAGUACUUUAAAACAUGUGCAUAAUCAUAAAAAAGAUUGUAAAGAUGUAACUCUAGGAUAAUUUGCAUAUGUGUUAUUAAUAGGUAUCCUUUGCUGUCAGUCUAAUUGUACAAUGCAAGAGAAUUCUAAUUUACUAUUACUGAAGAAUUUUUAAAAAAUGCUCCUGUUCAAAUUAUGACCAAUAGCUGCACUGCAAAAUUACAUGUAUGUAGAUCUGUCUACACAUGUAGGUUUUGUUGCAGUGACAGUUGUACUUUUUAAUUAGCAAGUUCUUUAUUUAACUUGGUGCUCAUGGGCAGUUUUACUUUCAAUUUCUGCUGGACCAAUGCUGAAUGAAGGGUUGUACAUGCUCAUUAUGUUAUGUUUGGUAAACAGCUGAAAAGAAGUAAGCUAAGCAUUAUAGAGGAUUUAAAACAUCUGAUAACAAAGAUAUUUGAUUGCCUUUCAUAUUGAAAUAAAAAAAGUUGAAAAUUUUAUUGAACAAAAAAUUACGAGUAUUGUAAAAUGUAUCCUGUAACUGCUCUGUCUCUUUAAAAAGAUAUUUGCAGUAGUAACCGAUCUAGCAUUGAAAACCACUAAGAAUUUUAAUAUUGUUCAUAUGUAAUUGCUGUAAUCUCUGGUCUUUGCAGGAGACGGUACUUAACAUACUCAAGGUUUUUUCCCAUGGUGUUUCUUUCUCAGAUUGCUAGGAUAAAGUCUGUGUUUAUUUCAGUUGAUUGUACAUAGAAAUAAACAGUUUACAUUUUUAGUUGAUGCAUAACAUUUUUAUUUGCUUUAUUCUGUCUUAAAUCUAGCUUCAUCCUUAGUUAAAUUUUGUGGUUAUGUUCAGAUACUUCCCCUCAGAUCUUCAUGUAGUACAGUGUAAGCAGCUCUGCUCUCGGGCUACUUUGCAAACAGUGAAAAAUAUAUGAAGAUAAAUCCUCUAUUGUGCCAAUUUAUUCCCCUAAGUAUUUCCAUCAUUUCUUUUACAGUAAUUUUUCAAAAUUAUUUCAUCAAUAUUUUAACUCUCAGUUUAAGCUACUACUCAGUAAAUCAUAUAUUCAAGAUCUUUUAGUUUUAUGUGUUAUUUUAGUAAGUUUCUAAUUUUUAAAGAGUUUUUUUUGAAGUAGUGUAAGAGUAUGGCUCAGCAGUGCUGAUACCUAGGAGAAUAAGGUCAGUGAAGGGGGAGGGGGCUGUUCCUUUCUCUGUAGGUAAUAAAAUGUGGCAUUUUAAGUGCUGUGGAGAGGGUCUCAAUUGUGGCCACUCUCUCAGUUAAAUAACUGCUUAGGGACUCUGAAUAUGCAUUUUUUUCAUUUAAAGAAAGUAAAACAAUUAAGUGUUCCUUCCUCUAUGAAUGUUACAAAAUAUAAUAUAUAUGUUAAUUUCCCUUAUUUCACUAUUCUUCAUGGAUAUUGAGGCCUGGGUGCAGGUGGGGGUCUUCUCUUGUUCCUUUUAAGUUUCAUGCAUUUUACUGCACUUGUUAAAUAUCAGCAUCUCACUGCCAAGUCACUAAAAGGUGAUUCUUUGAUUUUUUUUUAAAAAGUAAACUUACUGCUCAUUCUUUAAAAAUCCAUUAGUGGCAUUUUGACACAUGAAAAGUUUGAGGCCUUCUGCAUUCUUUAGUCACCAGAUAACGAUAUUAAUAACAUAGUAGUGUAUAGCAGUGCAUAGGUGAGAUUUUAAAACAUUUGAAUUUAGCUUGUGUUUAAAGUUGAUGAAUAUAAAUGAAUCAGCCUGGUGUUUUAGGUGAAAGUAUUUUCAAAUUUAAAGCUGUUGUGCCCCGAUGGGAUUAUUUCAGUGGUUGACUGAAACAUUCAGGAGAAGGGAAAUGUUUCUUUAAUGCCAGAGGGAAUUGAGCUAGGAAUUGGGAACAGAAAAAGGAAAAUAUCCCCAGCCUUAAACAUCCCUCUGAUUAUGACUAUCAUGAAACUGAGCUUUGCUUCAAGAUUUUAGCCAAUGCUGUGUUUUCAUAAUUUAAUAGGUAUUUAUUUUCUGAGUAGUUAGUGAUUUGUCUUUCUUAGAAGAUGCCUGUAAGAAAAUGGAUCUAUCAAUAAGUAACUCAUUUGCAGCAUUAUUGUACUCAAAAUCAUGAGAAGUUUAAUUUCAGUUUGCUUCUAUAAUUUUCCUUGACAGCUGUUGAAAAAAAAAAGUGGUAGAUUUGGAUUUAAACUGACUUCCAAGGAGGAGAUAUUUGUUCAAAAGCAGUCAGCGAGUGCAAAGAUCCAUGCCAAUAUUCAGAAUUCGUAUUUCCCUUGAAUGGAAGGUUGUGAUAAAAUGGUACAUGGUGUGUUUUCAUUGCCUGUUGAAAGACUUUCAUGCAGUUAAAAUAAGCAUUUUGAUGGUGGUUGAAUUAAGAGUUUUUGUCAGUCUCUUCUCAUCAUGGAUGAUUAGACUAAAACGUCUGCUUGUCUUGACUUGAGAUCACCACAGCUUCAGAUAACAUGCUUUGUGAUUGAAGGUCGAAAUAUUUUGAAUUCUAAUAGGCUGCCAGAUGAAUUGCUUGAAAUAGACUGUAAAAUUUCAAGGCUUCCUUUUCCAUCUGCUGUGAAAAGAACCAUUGGGAAUGGUUGAGCUUGAUGAUCAUAGAAUUACGGGAUGGUGAUUCUAAAACCCUCAAAGGGAAGUUGCUAUGGAGAUCUAGUUCCAAACUGUGAAAUGAUUCACCUCUGAAAGGCUUCAGGGUCUGAGAAGCUGAACACAUCAUUGUUCAGGUGGUCAUUGGUUAGGAAAUUGCUGGUGCCUGUGUAAUCAGCACUCCUGUGGUAGUUAACGAUCUAAAAAGGUUUGUUCUGAAUGAUGUGGGACAACAGCAAUGUGCAUAAGAUGGCUUCUCUCAAUCAUAGUUUGCUCAGCCUGGUGCUUGUAAAAAUAUAGUGAGCUAAAUGGCAGGGAGACGAACUGCUUCAUUGAGGAGGUCUUUUAAAAACAAAAUUCUUUUCUGUGAUGGAUUUGACAUCUAAAGUAAAAAAAGAACAACUGUUUCCGCUUAAAAAGCUGUGGUUAGAUGUUGCAAAAAUAUCAUAUAUUUAUUUUGCAAGGAGCAGAACAGCGGGGCUGCAUAUUUGUAUUUGCUUGAAGGCUUAAGGAGUAAUACCUUUGGAAAUAAAGAUUUCUACCCAGUCACACCUUGAGAACAUAAUGAAGUAGCCUUGAUAUAUUAAUAUUUUUCCUCUUCCGUCCCCCCUCCCCGGUAUUAGGGCCUACAAGGCACUCUGCUCCGGCAGUCAUGGAAAAAACACCCUGUGUUAUCGAGGAUUCAGGUUAAUCAAAGCUGAUGUUUUCUUUCUUAGUUUCUAAUUUAUUUGUGUGUUUGAGGCUAGGAAAAGGGAAUAACAGGCCAGUUUUUUGCAUGCAUGUAUAAAACAAUGCAUUUUGUCAACUGCUGCUAAAAUUUGCCAGCAGAUUCUUAGACUGCUUGAAAAUUCCAACAUACACACAAGUAUUUAAUGUACUUUUUCAAGGAAGUCAGAAAUCAUUUGUGCAGUACACAAGUAGUUAGUGACUAUACCUAAUUCAACAUAAAAUAUUUUCUUAACCAUGUGAUGUUCAAGAAGUCUGAGUUACUAUUCCUUGCAUACUCAGUGUCACCAUUUCACAAUUUCUUAACACAAUCUCUUAAUGAUUACUAGUAAAGAAGAUGCCAGUGGCUACUAGGUGGUGCCAGAUAGUUACAGAACACAAUUGGUAUGUUCCACAAUAUAGUUGCCAUUUAAAUAAAACGCUGCUAGGGAAAAAAGUGAAUGUCUGAGGGCUAGGGACUCCUUCACUGAAGUAAUGUACAAAAUGAGUUCUUUACUUUCCACAUGAUGGGCCAGCCAAUCUAUAGCAAGCAAUUUAAUAAUUUUUUGAUGGGAUGUUUUUUUGAUAAUUGUAAAGGAAGAGACUUAACAUCCAAAAUAAAAUAUUAGUAUUGAGUUUGGUGUUGUCAGCUGUUGCAUGAAGAUUUGAACAUUGAACAGGAAAUGUUGAAAACCCUCUUUAUUAAGUUUAGCAUCUCAGAUAAGAUGCAAAUUAUAUAUUGCCUUGUGUUUUUAGUAUUUCAGAUUCUGUUCUAAAAAGAUAAUUUGUUAUUUCUUAUAAUUGCAAGCCUGUACUGUUAUGUGAGGUCCUAAGAACUGUGACAUCUCUUAAUUUGUAGAGAUGUAAACAUGUGAAAAAUAGUGUG
Molecule: non-coding RNA, 18732 nt
Organism: Taeniopygia guttata (zebra finch)
Lineage: Eukaryota; Metazoa; Chordata; Aves; Passeriformes; Estrildidae
Source: RefSeq, a predicted model, not a curated record